GUCGCAACUAACAAUUUAGUCAAAAUAAUUUGUCCGAUAUCUUAUACGGUUUCUGGAAAUGAGUGGAAAUAAGCCUAAUUCAAAAAUUAGAAUAUGACCUUGACCUUUGACCUUGACCUAAUUUUCAUUUUUUUGGACCAAGGACCUCAAAUCAAAAGAUCCUAGGUCUCUAUCACUUAUGGUGUUCCAGUUUAAAAUACAUUUCAAAAUUUCAAAUACAAAAGGGGAAAUAACUCUCAUAUGGAGUGUUCAUAUUGCUUCGGUCGAAAUUGGACAAAUCAUGCGAAGGAUAUAACGAGC
RNAcentral lists this long non-coding RNA (300 nucleotides) under Mytilus galloprovincialis (Mediterranean mussel). Lineage: Eukaryota; Metazoa; Mollusca; Bivalvia; Mytilida; Mytilidae. The record is from RNAcentral.